UACGUAGGUGGCAAGCGUUGUCCGGAUUUACUGGGCGUAAAGAGCGCGCAGGCGGUCGUUCAAGUCGCGUGUGAAAGCCCCCGGCUCAACUGGGGAGGGUCACGCGAUACUGAUCGACUCGAAGGCAGGAGAGGGUAGUGGAAUUCCCGGUGUAGUGGUGAAAUGCGUAGAUAUCGGGAGGAACACCAGUGGCGAAGGCGAGUCCCUGGACAACUUCUGACGCUGAGGCACGAAAGCUAGGGGAGCAAACAGG
RNAcentral lists this ribosomal RNA (253 nucleotides) under uncultured bacterium. Its description in RNAcentral is "partial 16S ribosomal RNA". It matches the Rfam family "Bacterial small subunit ribosomal RNA", at positions 524 to 776 of the family's 1533-position model. The record is from RNAcentral.